GACGUAGGGCGCGAGCGUUGUCCGGAUUUAUUGGGCGUAAAGAGCUCGUAGGCGGCUUGUUACGUCGACUGUGAAAACCCGCGGCUCAACCGUGUGGUCUGCAGUCGAUACGGGCAGGCUAGAGUUCGGUAGGGGAGACUGGAAUUCCUGGUGUAGUGGUGAAAUGCGUAGAGAUCCGGAGGAACACCAGUGGCGCAGGCGGUGUCCUGGGACGUACCUGACGCUGAGACGCGAAAGCAUGGGGAGCGAGCGGG
This 254-nucleotide ribosomal RNA is filed under the name uncultured bacterium. RNAcentral describes it as "partial 16S ribosomal RNA". It matches the Rfam family "Bacterial small subunit ribosomal RNA", at positions 524 to 776 of the family's 1533-position model. The record is from RNAcentral.